This 301-nucleotide ribosomal RNA is filed under the name uncultured bacterium. RNAcentral describes it as "partial 16S ribosomal RNA". It matches the Rfam family "Bacterial small subunit ribosomal RNA", at positions 509 to 807 of the family's 1533-position model. The record is from RNAcentral.
CAGUAGCCGCGGUAAUACGGAGGGAGCUAGCGUUGUUCGGAAUUACUGGGCGUAAAGCGCGCGUAGGCGGUUAUUUAAGUCAGGGGUGAAAGCCCGGUGCUCAACACCGGAACAGCCCUUGAGACUGGAUAACUUGAAUCCAGGAGAGGUGAGUGGAAUUCCGAGUGUAGAGGUGAAAUUCGUAGAUAUUCGGAAGAACACCAGUGGCGAAGGCGGCUCACUGGACUGGUAUUGACGCUGAGGUGCGAAAGCGUGGGGAGCAAACAGGAUUAGAUACCCCCGUAGUCCCUGUCUCUUAUAC